GGCCUUCCAAAAAGAAGCGGUCCUAACUGACUUACGCUUCCGAUCACCUCCUCUCAGCUCCAGGUCCUUCACUCGACGACCCUGAAAAUGUUGUCCCACAACGGGGUGAGAUAUCAUCUCAACAAGUCUAACCUCUAAACCCCAAUUAGGAGGGAAAUACGCCCAGAAGUGUCCUAAUCACACAAGCACACAAUCAAUGAGACUUACCUCGUCUCAGAUCCACCCUGUAGGUCAGUACAAUUUAUCUCGAUAAUUGAAACGCCACACUCGAUUAAUCAUGCGUUCCUAGAUUUGAUCUCGGCAUAUAGCACGGCCUACUCUCAGUUCGGCGGUCUUCUGGCAUUGCCAGGCAUCGUCUCACCCCAUUGAGCACGUCACGUCUCUUUAUCAGACGGCUUUCCCGAAGGAGCAUAGGGUCCAGAAUCAACUGCGACCGGCUUCCCGUUGUCUAGGGGGUAUCCCAAAUAAGGAUAACGUCCAGCUCAACAGUCCGUGACGAUUUCUCUUAACCAUUACACGAUCACUCAAAUAUGGCCCAGGGCACCUUGCAUUGCACUCAAAUGCUUCAAUUAAAAUGGUGAGCCUGACCUUUUUCUUCGUAUUAGAAAUUCACAUGGAAUUACUCGUGUGUGGGUACACGGUCAACUUGAUCCAGGAAAAUUGAUAUUCAUCCUUUUUGAAAUCACACUAUUUCAUAUAGUACUAAAAACCAUUUUCGGUGUCAAAACCCGACACCUGAGAUUUUCUAAAUAAAUAUUGGAAAUUCACAAUUUUUUGGAAUUAAAUACCAAAAAUCCAAUUAGCACUCAAUUUGCAUAAUUUAACACUCAAUUGCAGAAAUUAACCACACCAUUGCAAUCAGCACGAAAUUCUGGUCACCGGCUAUCUUGGCCUAAAUUCCGGAAAAAUAAUUAAUAAAUAAUUAAUUUCGAAAAUUAAUUAAUUAAUUCAAUUUAAUUUCUAAAAAUACUAACCUUGGCCAAAAUUAUUAAAUUAAAUACCAAUACGGACCCGGAAAAUUUCCGAACCCUUCUAGAUAAAUAGUACAAUUUAUUUAGGCCUUAGCUAAACCAUACUAACCACCUAACAUGCUCAAUUAAAUAAUUCAAUUUCUAAUUUAAUCUAACUAACCACCUAAUUCCUAAUAAAAUAAAUCUAACACCCCUUAAACGUUAUUAGCCUACUAAGCAGAGUUUAGAGUAUAAACUCACCGGUGUAUCGCGAAAACCGGUUCACCGCGACGACGACGACGCGACGGCGGCCGAAAUCUUAAUUUUCGGCGGUGUCGGCGAACUCUCAGAUUGGGCUUUAAACGGGCCCAACAAAUCUCAGCCCAAAUCUGAGAUUUGCUUUUGAAAUUGGACUGGGCUUAAGUUGCUUCGCGGGCUUCAAUUAACGCGGGCUUGGAAAGGCUGAGUUGGGCUUGAAUUCAAGUGGGCCUUAAGCUUGCAAUGGAAUUGGGCCUGAGCUUGAAUCACUUGGGCUUUGCUGGGUUGAACAAAAUGGGCUGAUUUCUUGUGGGCCUGACUUCGUUUGGGCUUCAAAUGGAAAUGUGAAACUCGCUGGCUUGUGGCAGAAUUCACGUGGGCUUGGACUUGAAGACACGAUGGGCUGCGGCUUCACGCGUUGCUUGAUUCUACGUGGCCCAAUGGAAAUUGAAGCAACUUCGGUCUUCACCUCGGUCGUUGGUGUUGAGUCGCGGACGAAGGAAGCAGCAAGAGCUGCUGCAGGGGAAGACCACGCGGACGUGAGAGGUGGCAGCUGAGACGUUGCUGGCGCGAGCGAGCUGACCGUUGCUCGAUGAAGACACACGGCAGUAGGGUCAACAAAGCAGGAGCUCAGCUGACUUCGGUGGGCUUUGGAGAUGGCAGCGCGGCAAGACCGAAACUGUUUCGGUGGAUGGGUAAAGGACGUGUGGCAACGGGAUGGGCUGUAGGCUGCAGCUUGUUCGGUGGCUUGGCAGUCAACACUUGCUGAGGUAAUCGCCGAGUUGACCGAGAGCUGGCGUCGAAGAACUCGGGCGAAGCAGGAAUUGCUCGGUGGAACUGGGCUGGCAUGAGGAUGGGUCAACAAAAUGGAAAGUGGAGAAGUAUGGUUGACUGAGGGAGACAAGAAGAACUGGAGCAAGGACGUUUAUGAGGCUGAGUGAUUUUGGGUGGGGCUUCGUUCGCGGAGAAUGGAUGAAGAUGAAGAUGCAGGGAAAACAUGAAAAUGAAAUUGAGGUAGGAGCAGAAGCGUAGCACGAACGGGGAGAGAGACAGAGGCGGUGAAGUUUGUCCGAGAAGGCUUGAAGAGAGAG
This 2299-nucleotide long non-coding RNA is filed under the name Eucalyptus grandis. Its description in RNAcentral is "long non-coding RNA (EGRA_LNC004395)". Lineage: Eukaryota; Viridiplantae; Streptophyta; Magnoliopsida; Myrtales; Myrtaceae. The record is from RNAcentral.